AUUUCCCUCCAAUCAGCUGUUAAGUAUUUUUCCACAGAAGUAGUCAACGCUCUACGCAUUAAGAAGGUGCAAUCAGUUGUCGUUCGUAAAUGAAAAUUUUAGUCGCAACGAAGAGUAACUUUUAACAGUAGUUACAAAUGUGCACCGUUGAAAACAUUGUUUUCGUUUGCGAAUUAGGUCAAAAUCAAAACAAAGUAUAUGUGAAAAAGAUGAGAUAGUGUCAUACCUUGGUCUUUGUAUGCCAAAUGUCAUACAUAUUUACUUCUAUUUCUUAAAUAAAAGCAGAAUGUAAAAUUUCAAACAUUAUUAUUCAUUUUUAUUAAAAUUUAUUGAUUACGAAUAUAUAUGCCAAUUAACUUCAUUAUCUCUAAUAUUGAAUCUAUCUCUUAUUCAAAUUAGAAAUUAUGUUGAGACUUUUGGUUACCUUUGGUGCCGGAAUGUAUGCAGGGGUUUAUCUUUGUCAGAAUUAUAAGAUUCCUCGUGUUGAUGAGCCUGCUGAGUUGUGGAGAAAAAUAAAGGAUAUUGCUGACCAAUAUAGAAAGCCUCCUGACAGUUAGCUCCUUUAUUAAUGUUUAGUUUGUGUAUUGUAAUUUUGUCAAUGAAUUAUUUUUUUUAAAA
Long non-coding RNA from Parasteatoda tepidariorum (common house spider), 618 nucleotides. RefSeq lists it as uncharacterized. Lineage: Eukaryota; Metazoa; Arthropoda; Arachnida; Araneae; Theridiidae. The record is from RefSeq and is a predicted model, not a curated record.